GCGCUCGUACUCCAACGGCAGAGAGACAGGCCUUAGAAGCCUGGUGUUGUCGGUUCAAAUCCGACCGGGCGCA
Molecule: transfer RNA, 73 nt
Organism: Streptomyces sp. DSM 15324
Lineage: Bacteria; Bacillati; Actinomycetota; Actinomycetes; Kitasatosporales; Streptomycetaceae
Rfam family: tRNA
About the family: Transfer RNA (tRNA) molecules are approximately 80 nucleotides in length. Their secondary structure includes four short double-helical elements and three loops (D, anti-codon, and T loops).
Source: Rfam